Molecule: long non-coding RNA, 443 nt
Filed under: Sorghum bicolor (sorghum)
Lineage: Eukaryota; Viridiplantae; Streptophyta; Magnoliopsida; Poales; Poaceae
Description: long non-coding RNA (SBIC_LNC011251)
Source: RNAcentral
UCAUCUUCGCGCGGGCCGGCCGUAUGGUAUGGGAAUGCAAGCAUCCCGGCCUGACAAUUUGGAUAUAUAAGUUGGGCCGGGCGUGGAACUGGAUUCCAUGCAUUGCAUGCAUGGUUUCCGUCAGUUGGUGCCGAUAUGACCUCCCUACCAGCCGCGAUGAAGGUCCAAUAACGCGAGGAAUAUGAUACAGGGUUACCUGAUACGGGGCACGUCAGCUGGUCUAGUGUAGAUGAGGACCACGUCCCCAUCCCCUCGCGCUGCGCCAGUGGCCGGCGACUCCGGCGCCGACGCCGACCGCAUCAAAGCCAGCCAGAAAAGCCAGGGCCAGAUCGAGAGGGGGCGUCCGUACGUGUGGCAGCGCAAAAAUCCGGGCCGGAGCUUGCAGCUAGCUAAUGCUAAUGCUCACACGGACGGACGGACCACGGAGCCGCAUCAUCUCUCCC